RNAcentral lists this ribosomal RNA (365 nucleotides) under uncultured soil bacterium. RNAcentral's name for it is "bacterial SSU rRNA". It matches the Rfam family "Bacterial small subunit ribosomal RNA", at positions 26 to 382 of the family's 1533-position model. The record is from RNAcentral.
AGAGUGAACGCUGGCGGCAGGCCUAAUACAUGCAAGUCGAACGGCAGCACGGCAGAGCUUGCUCUGUGGGUGGCGAGUGGCGGACGGGUGAGGAAUACAUGGGAAUCUGCCCAGUCGUGGGGGAUAACGUAGGGAAACUUACGCUAAUACCGCAUGCGCCCGUUCGGGGGAAAGCCGGGGACCUUCGGGCCUGGCGCGAUUGGAUGAGCCCAUGUCGGGUUAGCUAGGUUGGCGGGUAACGGCCCACCAAGGCGACGAUCCGUAGCUGGUCUGAGAGGAUGAUCAGCCACACUGGAACUGAGACCGACGGUCCAGACCUCCGUACGGGAGCAGCGAGUAGGGGAAUUAGUAGGACAAGUAGGGAC